AAGGAUUUAAGUUAAAAAAACUUUUAACCUUCAAAGUUGACAAUAGAAUUAUUUCUAAGCCUUA
Molecule: transfer RNA, 64 nt
Filed under: Oedionychus cinctus
Lineage: Eukaryota; Metazoa; Arthropoda; Insecta; Coleoptera; Chrysomelidae
Description: tRNA-Trp
Source: RNAcentral